This is an RNA transcript of Phlebotomus papatasi, 14625 nucleotides long. It is a transcript of the gene named cell adhesion molecule DSCAM, with no coding region annotated. Lineage: Eukaryota; Metazoa; Arthropoda; Insecta; Diptera; Psychodidae. The transcript is spliced from 14 exons. The record is from RefSeq and is a predicted model, not a curated record.
GGUCUUUGUGUGUGUUUUUUAGUUCUCCGGAAGAAGCUGAACAGUCGUGGCCAGAAACUUUUGUCGCGAAGAUCCCCCAAGAGGAUCAAUCUCUGCCGCCAGAACAGCCAUUCGUGAUCACUUGAGUGCCCUGUCAGGUGGUUUCUGGUGAUACUGUGCGGUGUUUUUGGUGGUUUUUCCGGCCACGAAGUGCCCUUUGUUGGUGGAAAAACAGAAACGCGAGAGCACAAGAGAAAAAAAAGAAAAAAAAACGCAGUGGCAGCAAACAUGGUGAUUUUGUUUCGACAAAUCGCAAUUUCUGUGCAUUUUCCUGAGCAUUUUGCCACAUUUACCAGGCAUUCUCGGCUAUUCUGUGAUGCUGUUGGGAGGUGAGGGAGUCCAGUGUGGGCAGAAAAGUGCUGAAAAACGUUCAAUAUCGAUGAGGAAAAGCUCAUUCGAUGGUGUUUGAAGGAGUUUGUGUAUGUGUGUGAUGAGUUUGAUGAAAAUAUUUUGCGGUGUUUUUCUCAGUGAUAUACUGUUGUCUCGCUCACACCAAUGGGCUGUCAAUGGACUGUUUGGCAUGUGCGAGUGAAAUGGUUGACUAAUAAAACCAAGAAACUUCUUCCCAAAACGCACACAGACGCAUCUUGGCUCCUCAGGAGUUGAAUGGAGAAGAAACUCGGUGACGAUUCCACAACUCCGGUGCACGAGAAAAAAAAAGAAGUCAUCAAAACUAUUUCCGUGAUUUUUCUUCUUCUUCUCUCCCCAACUUCUCUGGAGGAGGAAGAAAUCUGUUUUUUUUAUUAUUCAUCUUCCAAAUAAACCAUAAAAAAUAAAAAAAAAUAAAAAUUAAAAAAAGAAAAAUUAAAGAAAAACUGGUGAAGUGGUUGUUUAGUGCCUGUGAAAUAAAUGAAAGUGCAUCGUUGGGGCAUAAUUGGACGCUUUUGUGGCAAAAAGCGAAUUAAAUUGAUGGAUAGAGCACCAAAUGACUAGAAAUUCAUCUUAUAUGGCGCUCUCAUACAUCCGCCUCUUUGCUGUGUUUACAUUUGGAUUAUUCCUCACAAAUGGAUCACUAUCAGUGUGUGGAUUUAUCAACAAAGAUGGACCGGGCCCCAGAUUAAGUUUUGCUCUUGAACCACCAUCCUCGGGCAUUGUUUCAAGAAAAUCACCUCUCCUGCUGCCAUGCUCUGUGAAUUUCACACGUGAUUUUUCUUAUGAUGGUGUAAAUAUGAACUAUGAUGGUGAUGAGGGUGAUUACGAGGAUGCUGAUGAUAAUGAUGGGGAUGAUGGUCUAAAUACUAAUAAUUACGAGGAUAAUCCAAAUUUUUCGUCAUCUCACAAUAAUGCGGACGAUUUUGCGAAUUUUAUUGAGGUGAAACGCGAUGGUUCAAGUGUAAUAAUUGAUGAGGACAAUGAUGCGAAAGAAGAUUCCGAAAAUGAUUUUGAUGGAUUUCGUUUUCGUCGUCAAAUUUCCGUCCCAUCCUUCACCUAUACAUGGUUUCGCAAUGGUGAAAUUCUUGUGACACAAAAUAACAAUUUUCGCAUCUUUCCAAAUGGAACACUCAAGAUUUUCUAUUCGGAUCAUGCAAAUGGUAUCUAUCGAUGUUUGGUCAAUGAUACAAAAUCAAUUUAUGGCGCUAUUAUAUCUCGAGAGAGCAAAAUUUACAAAACAGAAUUCACACGUGGGAGUAAUGAAUCGAAUGUUUUGGUGGAGAUUGGAAGUCCUAUAGUAUUAAAUUGCCCCUUUAGCAGCACUCCGAGGGCCAAUGUGACGUGGUCCAAGGGAAAGACUACUCUACCAGUAACAAAUGAUAAGAGAAUCUUUCAGCUGCAGAAUGGCAGUUUACUCAUAGUGAAUGCUAAAAGCACAGAUAGUGGCAAAUACAAGUGUAUCGCGAAAAAUGAUUAUUCGCAGAAAACUGAAAGGAUUUUCAUGCCACAAGUCACGGUGAUGGAUUCAAGGACCAAUCAUCAUGGAUUGUUUCCGGCACUGCAACAUGUGGACCAGAAAAUUAUGAAUGGUGACACACUGCAGCUCUAUUGUGUCUCAUUUCAUGAUGAACCUGUUGAAUGGAGUUUUACGCCAAGAAUAUCAUCAAUACCGAUAAAAUUGAGUGGUGUGAAAUACGAAUUGAAGUACACAAAUAUUUCUCGUGAACGUCACGAAGGAGUUUACAAUUGUUCCACCAAGACAUCUUAUCAGAUCUUCAAUGUGACAGUGUUGAUUGAGCCGACUUUUCAGCAAAAUCUAUCGUCAGUAGCCUCGACAAUGGGGGCUUCAGUGAGCCUUCCGUGUUUGUCCGGGGGUAAUCCUCCGGCAAAUAUAACAUGGUAUCACAAUGGAAGGCUCCUGAAGAAUACUCAUGCCAUUCACUAUGAUGACCAACAGUUGAGAUUGCAUUCGAUUGAGCCGGAAGAUGAGGGUAUAUAUCAGUGUUUUGCGAAAAAUGAAGCCGGUGAGAUCCAAAUGUCUGUUUGUUUGUCACUGAGGAAGAGGAAGAAAUUGUCGAGGUUGUACAAUGUGAAAUGCUAUCCAGUCAAUUAUACCACGGUUCGCGUGCAAUUUGAUUCACUUGAACCCAUUCAUAUGGUGAAUUACUAUCUUGCCACGGAGAAUCCCUACACGUGGCGAGCUCCGCGUCCAUUGGAAAUUCAGCGUAAUAAUACAGUGAUCAUUGGGGGCGAAAUGGAGCCCCUGAAGGUCUAUACACUGUACAUGAGGGGCCUCAAGAAGGAUCGCACGGAGAUGAUUGGGAAGCACGUGAAGACUCACAUGCUGAUGGGAAGGCUGACAAAAGGCAUCAAAUGUGCUACUCAAGGAUUGGAGAUAUUCUCUACGCCAUUUCCCACGGGAAUCUUUAUAUGGUGGCCCAAUGUACGAGAGCUCCCAAUUGAGUCAUUUAAGAUUCAAUUUAGGCACCGUGACACCAAGAAUCCCAUCGUCUUCUCGGAUCAAGUCAUUGGAACCACCUGUGAAUUGGAUGAAUAUCGAACGUGGCAGGAGAUUGAGAACAAUCUUACCAAGAUUUCUGCCGAAACUAAAAUUAUCACAAUGCCCCUGAGGAGGGAUUUGAGAUCACUGAGGGAGGCAACGCAGAUGCUGGAAUCUGGGGAAAAUUCAAAUUUGGCAAAUGAAUCGAAUGGAGGUCACAAUGAGACAAGAACAGAACUUUUAAUCCCUGGAAAUGUGACUGGAAUCCUUAUACCAAACUCCAGAAAGAUUGAAGUGAGAGUUUUGGGGGCUACACCAGAUAAUCCCAUUGAUGAGCAGGAUUUGCAGUAUAUUCCAUGGAAGACGAUUCAAAAUUCACCAAAUGGCGUCUCGCAGCUACGUGCAAAUGCAGUUGGUGCCAAAACAGUUAAUCUUUCGUGGAAUUCCUUUGGAGCCAAAAAUGCCAAUUCAUGUCUCAAACUUUGCUACAGAAACAUCAAUCAGGAUGUUCUUAUUCGUGGCGGCAAGGACGAUGAGUGUCAAACUAUCAAUGCAAAUCGGUCAUCGGUGGAGGUGAAAUCAUUGCCACCAUUCACAAAAUAUAGAAUGUACUUGAGCAAUUGCAAUUCCACCCAUCCCAUUACCGAUGUCAUCACCGUACAGACACAUCAAGAUGUUCCUGGUCCGGUGACAAAGCAUCGGCUUACAUUUGACGAUGGCAUAACGCUCCACUGGAGUCCACCCGUGAAUCCCAAUGGUGUCCUACAGUAUUACUCAAUUGUCUGGAAUAAGGAGGAGGCAGAGAUGUCAGCUAAUGUUAGCAUCAAUGAAAAUACCUUUAAGUUACCAAAUGUGACAUCCGAUGAAAGGAUUAAUAUAACAAUUCGUGCAGUUGGAAGUGCAGGAAUAGGUAUUCCAAUUUAUAUGAUGGAACAAGAUGAGAAGUUGGUGAUACGUCCGGGACGCGAGAGUUCGUCCAAAUCGGCAAAGAUUUGGGGAAUUGUGAUUGGUGUGAGUCUGUCGAUGGUACUAAUCUUUGGGUUUGUUGUGGUAUUCCGGAAGUUGCGUAAAUGCACGAAAAAUCGUCAGAAUACGGUGAAUCACAAUCAGAAUAUGGCCUAUGAUCAGUCUAUGCAUCCGUGCAGUCGGGAUACGCAUGAGAUGCAGACAUUGAUUCCCCAUACGGGUCUCACAACCGCAGCCUUUGCCAAUACACCCAAUGGGAAUGCCAAGCAUGGUAUCCUGGACAGUUUUACGGGUGGUGAGACGAGGAGGGAGAAUGGGAGGGAGAUUGUGGUGAAUUCAUCUCCGAGGGUCAAUCGGGGAAUGAAGACGAGGAGUGGAGGGUGUGAUGGGGGCCAGGAGGAGCAACAGGGAACGGGGGAGGAGGAGGAGGAUAGUAGUUUGGGUGGGAGUGAAAAGUCAGAAAAUACCCUGAGAUUGGACGAAUGCUGUGAGGCUGUGAAGAUGGAAUGCGAAAGGGUGACCAAGGGAACAAGUAAUACAGGCGGCAGUCGGAGUAGGAAUAUCAAUGGGAAUGGCAAUGUAGUGCAUAUGAAUGGAUCAGUGAAGAUGUUAAAUUUUCUACCACAACAUUCCACAACCAUUUUACCACCGAAUCAGCAAACACCCAACAAUAACAAUGUCAAUAGCAGCAAUGACGAGGAAAAUUUGCAUGAGACAACAGCGGAUUCCUUCAAUGAUGACAGUCAGCAGGAACUUUUGGGCCAUUCAGUGCCGAUUUUGGCAAAAAAUAUACCAAAUCGAGUGGCAAAUGAUAUCAAAUAUCACAAUGGUUCAAAUGAUAUUCUAUCUGCUGCACAUCACAAUGGUAUUGCAAAGUGCGAUGACACCUUCAGUUGGAUUGUCAACAAUGUGGCGAGUGGGAAGAAUCAUCAGAACAGUGAUAACUAUCGAAGACCAAUUGUUGGACCAAAUGGAUAAAAGUUUGAUUUUUGGAUUCCAAAGGUUCAAACCAGAAAAAUCACAUGCUCUCCCUCAUGUGCCACAGAUACUCCCCCCAGAAAAAAGAAACAACAUCCCAGGUUUUGAUUGUGGAAAUAUUGAAAAAGAGAAAAAAGUGCGUAAGCGUAAGAGGAUAUGAAAUUGAAAAAUAAAAAGAUAUUAACUGUUGUGUUUUUCACGUUGUUGUGAAACGUGUAAAGAAAAGAAUGGAAGGUAAUCUAAUUGAAAAAAAAAUGAAGAAGUAUAAGUGAAACUCCAUUAAGUAAUUUUUAUAAUAUAGAAGGUAUUUUUUGGAAUAUUUUUUUCUUUUUUAAAUAAUAUUGGAUAACAUUUUCGAAUGAUAAAAAAAUUAGGUCUUAGUGGAUGAAAAGUUUGAAGAAGAAAACAAAACGGUGGUAGAUCGAAAUCUCAUGUCUAAGCUAAUUAUUGAGUGAAAAUUAAUUAUGAUUUUAUUUCUAAUUUUUUUGUAAAAAAAAUCUUUUUUUUUUUUUAAAAAAGAGAAAAAAUUCAAAAACUUAAAAUUUCGCUCAAGAUUAUACGAGGACAGAAUGUGAAAAGAUAUUUUUUUACACUUAUCGUAUAGACUUUUUUGGAGAAUUUUGUCAAAAUACUUUUUCACUGUCCUGAAAAUUUGAAAAAAAAACAAAAAUGAAAAUUUUUUUAAUGUCUUAAAUGUAAGAAAAAUGUAAGGGAGUAAGAUUUUUUCAAAGUAAGGGGCUAUUUAGGGGAGUUGAGAAGCUAGAUACGUAUGUUAAUAAUUACCGUUAGUUCUUGUACCUGAUUACAUCAUAUAGAUAUUUAAAAAAAACAUAUAUUACAAAUAAAAUAAAGAAAACAUAAAUAAUGAAAUAAACAGAAAACACAGAAUAAGAUUGAAAGAUGCACAGAGGAGGGAUUUCUUAUUUUACAAAAUACUUUUUUUUUAUAUCAUCAUUGCAGUUAAUACGUUAUUUCGCGAGAAAAUUGAAAAAAAAAAUAUUUUCAAAGAUUUUUUAAAAAUAGUUGUUUCGUUUUACGUUUCACAUCAAGGAAAUUUUUGAAUGAUAUUUAAUGACAAAUUGGCACUAAAAAAAAAACAAAAACACAAAACACAAUUUAUAUUGGUAAUUUGAAAUACGAAAAAAAGAGAUAAAUAAAAUUUUUAAAUUUCAAAACAAUAAGUAAAAUUUAAAAAAUAAAAUUUUUACUUAAUGGGACGAAAUUAGGUCAAAUCUAACGGCAAAAAAAUUUAAUUGUGCCUUUAUUGUACAAACAAAAUAUGAUGAAAAACACAUAAUUGAACAAAUUAAAAUUGAAAAAAACAUUUUGAAAAAAAAAUUAAAAAACUUAUUACCAGUUUAAGCAAAAGUGUUAUGAGAAAGUUGAUACCAGAUUGACAAGUACAGUUGAAAUGAAGAGAUUUUGCGGAUUUUGAAAAAGAAAAAAGAAAGAUUUAUUGAAUGGGUACGAGAAUGGUAUUUUUUAAAUCUUAGAAAAGAUGCUUAAAAAUUAAAAAAAACAAAAUUUAAAAGAAAAUACCUAUAAAUUAUCUAAACUUUCUGUCAUUGUGUAAUAAUUGUGGACAAUUUAUUGAGUGUGUCUUUUUCUUAAUCACUUUUAUUAUUAUUUUUUUUUAAUUAUUAGUUUUUCUCCAGUUUAGUGGUAAUCAGAAGGUGUAAGAUUAUUUUUUGUUUAACUUUUGGAAGACGGAUUAGUACAAAAUUGCAGACAUUAUUUAAAUAAAGAAGCGAAAGAACACUUUUAAUGGUAAGGGAAAGAAAAAUCAAGUUAAAAAAUCACACAGUGCCAAUGUCCAUGAUACCCAGAUCUAGCCCAAUAGAACAUUUUUUUUUAGAAAACAAUAGUUUAUUAAAAAGUAGAUGGGAUUCCUUCAAUUUACUGGAUUUUUUAAAUCCAAUAUUUUCCAUGGAAGCUCCUCCCACAAAAAAGCCGUUGACUCCCAAUUUUUAAUAUUGAAGAGGGCGUGGCCUAAAAUUAUACGCGGAGUUAUUUAAAAAAAAUCCGGUAAAAUGAAGUAUUUCCAUCAGAAACAAACCAUAACCAUUUAGAAAAAAAAAAACAUACAGAAAUAAACAUAAAAAGUGCAAUAGACAGCUUUAAGCUUUUCCCCCCAACCAAUCACAACUAACACCAUUUUUAACCAAUUUUUCAACGUUUUUAAUUUUUCUUCCAUCCCAGAUGAUUUUUUUCAUUCCUUUAUUUUGAUUCCUUAAGCAAAUAAUGUGCAUUUCAUAACUGAAGAAAGAUACACAGGCAUUAAUUUCUUUUUUAAAAGAAAAUUUUUGCUCAAGAAUACGUACUUUUGGGACUGAGAAACUUUUUAUUUAACUUUUUAUUUUCACUUUAAGACAAGUUUUGUGAUUACCACUUUUGUAGAUUUUCCUCUUUAUUAACAAUUUUAUUAAAAUAUAGCUUGAUUUGACAGAUUUUCCUUUGAUGGUCUAAUUGUGGUCAUAAUUUAGUAAUUUUGGGAAAAGAAAUUUCGUUUUAUUUUUAGUACAAGAGUGUUAACUAUGUUAUGUACUAAAAAUGAAAAAAAUAACUUUUGGAAACGGGGGAACUAAUUCAUGUAUAGUUAUCGGAAUAGCGUAUACCCUCGUUCUUUACUAGUAACAGAUUUCAUCAAAUUGCUCCUUUGAUUCCGAGGAGCACUAAAAUGUAGUUCAUGGAAUUAAAAAACAUCCAAGAUAAUUAGCGAAAACGUGAGGAUAUGAAAUUUCCCGCGCUUUCAAUCAAGCUGAACGUACUAGGUACAAGCUCUCAGAAACCCUUCAAUUUAGGGAAGUACUAAAAUUUUGUUCUAAAAAGGAAUUUAUGAAAAACAUUUGAAAUCGUCGGAAAAAGUUAAGUUAUAAGAUUUCCAUUGCUUUAGAUCAAGCUAAUUUUUUUACGAUGGAUUUAUCUGAAAAUCACCCCUUUAAUUCUAAGAAGUACUCAAACUCGGUUCUAAAAAGGAAUUUAAGAAAAAUGUUUAAAAUCGCUGGAAAAUAUUAAGUUAUAAGAUUUCCAGUUAUUUAGAUCACGCUAAAUUUAUUUACGACAGAUUUACCUGAAAAUUCUUCCUUAAAUUCCAAGAAGUACUAAAACUCAGUUCUAAAACGAAAUUUAACAAAAACAUUUGAAAUCCUUGGAAAAAGUUUAGUUGUAAGAUUUCCAAUGAUUUAGAUCAAGCUAAAUUUAUUUACGACGGAAUUAUCUGAAAAUUACCCUGUCAAUUCCGAGAAGUACUAAAACUCAGUUUUACAAAGCAAUUUAAAAAAUGCUUGAAAUUACAUGUAUUGCUCAAUAAUAAAAAAUGAGGGUAAAAAAAUUCAACUUGUUUAUGACCUAGCAGAAAACAUACUUUCACAAAAUUUUUCCUUAAAUUCCUGAGAAGUACUUUAAAGCUUAGUUCUAAAAAUGAAUAAUCAGAAUGUUCGAGAUUACUGGAAAAAUGAGGGUUUAAAAUUCCUGUUGCUUUCAGCCUAGCUAAAUUUUCUCUUAGAUUCUCUCGAAAUUUCCUCAUUCUCGGAAAUACUAAAACUUAGUUCUAAAAAGGAUUAAAGUGAAGUUUUAAAAUAUUUUUUCCCUAAUAUCGAAGUAAAUAUUCCAAUGACAUGUUCCUUCAAAAUGUCCUGUCAAUUCCGGGAAGUACUAAAACUUAAGAAAAUAAUACUUGAGAUCACUGGAAAAAUGUUAGGUUAUAAAAUUCCAUUUGCUUUUGAGCUAACAAAAUUUCCUAGUGACAAAUUUUCUCAAAAUUUCCGCUUUAUUUCAGGAAGUACUGUAAAGCAUAGUUCCAAAAGGAAAUGAAAAGAUUCUUGAUAUCAGUAAGGAAAUUUAUAAAAUUCCUAUUGAUUUCAACCGGUUUAAUUCUCAAAACUUUCCUUUAAUUUCGGGAAGUACUAAAACUUUGUUCUAAAAUUAAAUGAAAAUGAAGCUUGAAAUCAAAGGAAAAAUUGAGAUUUCCGAUUUCUUUAAAGCGAGUUAAAUUGCCUAGUGAUGAAUUCCCUCAAAAUAUCCGCUUCAAUUCCGGGAAGGACUAAAAAUUAGUUCUAAAAAGAAAUACGAUGUAUGCUUGAGAUCACCGAAAAAAAGUAAUCUUAUUAAAUUUUCGUUCCUUACUUUGGAUCAAGCUAAAUUUCCUAAUAAUAGAUCCCCUCAAAUUGCUCCGUUUAGUUCCGGGAAGUACUAAAACGUAGUUCUAAAUAGAAAUCUUCCCUUUUGGAACAAAGAAAUCUUUCGCUUCAGAAAAAAACUAGGUAUUUUUUAUUAUUUUAAAGUACUCUAAAUUUGAUAGUUACAGAGGCUCUUAAAGUAUCCUUUUCUACUGUGCGGGAUGUACUAAAAUUAUGUUUCUGUAAUCAUUUCUUAUAACUUCCAAAGAUUUUAAAAAUUGCGCUGUUGAGUACUAAAGAAAUUCACACCAUUAGAAUUGGAAUGUUUCCCCAGGAUCAGAGCCCUCUGGUGGUAAAACUAACUUUUUAUUCAUACCGUUUUAUUUGACAAAAAGACAUUCUAAGGAUUGGAACAUCAUAACCCAGAAAAAUAUGAACAAUUUCGUGAUAUUUCAGGUUUCAUGUUAUUAGCAUUUUUGAGGUUAUGCAAUCCUGAACAGACGUCACUUUGCUUCCUAACCUCAAAUUUUUGAAAUCUAAAUUUGACCACAUUUAGAUCGUUAAAAGAUGAAAACAGCAAGUCAAGUUCUUAUUUUGAUGUUUUAAUUGUAAUUUUUCCUUUUUGUUUUAUCGAGUGCUUUUUUUUAGGAGAAACUAUUUUUGAAUUUACAAAAAUAAGAAGAAAAUAGAAGAAGAUAAACUGAGGUACUGAAUGGAAUAUUUCUCUGUGUAAUGUUUGUAAAGUGUAAGGAUUUAUUGUAAAUUAAGAAGACAAAAAAAAGAACAUAAGGGAUAUUUUACGUAAUGACAAACACGAAGAACAAAAUGUUAAUUCAUGUUAAAAAUAAAAAGAGAGAAGAGAUAAAUAAGUGAGAAGGAACUAUUUGGCACUGAAAAUUUUUAAAAGAAAUUGAACAUAAUUAUGAGAGUUAAGCAUCAAUGAGAUAAAUUUGCCGUUUAUCGUCAAUUUUAUUGAAUGUUGGAUAAGAAAUUGAUGAAAAAACUUUUCGAAGUAUUUUUUUUAAAAUAAUUUCUACAAAGGAAGAAAGGUGAGAAAAACGUUGCUUAAUAGAAAAAAACUGCAAUAGUAAUGGGGCAGAGACAAUAUUAAUAAAAGAAAAAAAAACACUAGGAAGGAUUAAAAAAAAACUAUUUCCAAUUAAUUUAUUGAGAAGAGGCUACAAGAAUCACACAAAUAUUUCUAUUUUUCCUGCAAUGAUUAUCCCUUUUUUACCAUGAAAAAAAACUUUUUGUAUUUUUCUAUUUUUUGUGGUUUUCAUGGAAACUUUGUUUAAAUGAAAAAAUAACUCAGGAUACAUUUUUUGUAUGCAUAUUUUCUAGGUUCUUACGAGCAACUCACAAUUGCUUUUGUUUUGUAAAUAAAAUGGGACUGUAAUAUAAUGAUCAGGGCAUAAUAACAUUUGUUUAUAAACUUAUUUUCAAAUUUUCCUAUGAGAUAGAGUGAGAUGACUAGAUCUAGAUCUCACUCACUCUCAUUGAAGUGUCAAAAAACAUGUUUACUAAACAAAAGUUAUUGUGCGUUGGUCAUAAUGCCCAACGCACAAUAACUUUUGUUUAGUAAACAUGUUUUUGAUAUUUCAAUGAGAGUGAGAGAGAUCUAGAUCUAGUCAUCUCGCUCCUUCUCACGAGAAAUUUUAAAAACAUGUUCACAAACAAAACUUAUUGUGCGUUGGGCAUAAUGCCCAGCGCACAAUAAGUUUUGUUUUGAAAACAUGUUUCCGAAACUAAGUACGAGAGUGAGCGAGAAGACUAGAUCUAGAAUUCAUUCACUCUCAUUAAAGUGUCAAAAGCAUGUUUACAAGAAAAAAAGUUAUCGUGCACUAGGGAUUAACCUGCGACAUUUCCAUGAAUUUAUACAAAAAAAAUACGUAAAGGUUGAGUGUUCUUCACGGUCAUGACUUAGGUCUCAACUCACAUUCAAAAAGUUAGAGAUCAAAUCUUCUCCGCUACGUUUUUUUUCGUGAAUAAAAGCAGACGGGAAUAGAACAGAGGGAAGAAAACUUAGCUUCUUAAGCCCAGGAAAAUCUCAUUAUUCCCAUCGUAACCACUUAUUGAUCCUCAUUUGUACGCUUAACACGGUUUCUUACAAGGGAAGUACUCGAGUCAUCAAAUUCAUAUAAAUCUGGAACUUUUCUCAACUACGCAGGAAGGCAUCAAAUUAAACGUGGUAUAUUCAAAAAGUACGAAAUUUGGUUAAUUUUUUUUUAAAUUCCCCAAAGUUGAAAAUAUGCAGCACAUAAUAAAGAAAAUUCUAAUGAGAUUGCAUGCAGCGAUGGCUCAGAGGUACAGUUCAGGACAUUCAACGGGAGUGCCGCGGGUUCGAUUCCUGGCUCCAUCUGUUUUUUCCUUUUAAUAUCUUUUUUUCUUUUCAAUAAAAAAUUCUAUUCUUUAUUAAGUAGUAUUAUUGUAGUGUAAAUUGCUUAUAGUGCCGAAUGAAAAUCCUCAACAAGUUUUUAAAAGCAAUGAAAGUGUAUCACGUAAUUUAUCGAAUUAUCAAUUUACUAGUAGAAGAAUAAAAGAUUUAUAUGAAUUUGAUGACUGGAGUACUUCCCUUGUUAGACUCGUAGUGAGUCAAAGCAAGUUGAAGUGCACAUGGCAAUUGGUUAAGAUCAGUUGCAGUGACAGUCUGAGCACAUGUCCCCAAGUGGUUAGAACAUUCGCCUAAACAGCGAAAGGUUCCGGGUUCAAGCCUGGGUGGAGGCGGGGAAAAAAAACAUGAUAAAAAAUUUAAACAAUAGGGGCCAAAUCAAGAUUCGAACCCGAGACCUUUGCGUUAUAAACACUGUUCGCUAGCCCACUGCGCCACCGCUAUUUCUGCUGGAAAUCGGAUAUUCUUUAUCAUAUGUCUUAUGAAAUCAUAAAAAGCGCUUUAUUUUAAAGGAAAAAAAUUAGCACUUUUUUAGUAUGACAUGUUUAUUAUGAUACCUAUCCGCGUCUAUGUUCUAAACCCUCUAAUGUCCAACUUUUAAAUUUACAAAAAAGAAUAGUAAAAUAAUUUUUUUCUAGACUAAUUAUGGCGUAAAAUGCGAAAAUAUAAAAGAUUUUUGAAACUCUUCGCUCCUAAAAUUCAUUUUUUAUUUUUUGCAAUUUUCUAGAUUAAAAUUUAUAAAGUAAAAUGACGUAUCUUUCAGUGAAAAAAAGAACAUUAUUUUACGGCGUUAUCACACUUGCACAUUAAAAUUUUAAUGUGAUUCACAUUAAUUGUCGCUUGUGAGCGUUCAAAUAUGUUAUUUGUGUCUAUGAGUCACUUAAUAUUUGGGGUUUUUCUAUUUAUUGAUAAAGAAGUGGACUUGGCCUGCAAAAAUAAAUUUAAAUUUACCUAAAGCAUAAAUAUUUUUCACAUUAAAAAAUUAAAGAGAAAAUCGCAUUAAUUUUUUGCAUUAAUGCUAUAAAUCAAUUUAUAUCAAAUUUUGCUGGCCAAGUCUACUUUUUUAUCAACAAAUAGAUCAAAUUUUGAAUAUAAAAUGAUUCAAACACAAAAAUUACACAUUUGGACUCUCACCAGCGACAAUUAAUGUGAAUCAUAUUAAAAUUUUAAUGUGCAAGUGUGAUAACACAGUUAGUCAGAUAACUUUAAGUCGGUGUUUUUAUUGAAUUUUGAAAUGAGAUUUUUUGCAUACAAAUAUUUUCCUGCUUUUUUCUGACCUGUCACGCAAAACUGGGGAUAGCAACUAAACGAAGGGUCAAAAUGAGUUUAAAAAAUCGAAAGAUGUUAGCAAGACUAUUACCGAGGACAUUAUAGAACUCUUAAAUAAAUAAAAUAUUAAUUGUCGCUGUAACUGCGAUUUUUGUGAUACUACCUUGCAGUGACUCUUAAACGUUAGAGGGUUACUAUAAAGCCAAUUUGAAUUUAAUGGCUAGAUGACUUCCCUUGUAAUACCAAUUACAGUUUUUCCUCAACAAUUCAUAAAGAAAAAAGGUGAAAAAAAAUGAUUGACCCGAGAUUUGAUCUUGAACUUCUGCAACGUGAGUUCAGUGCUCUACCGUCGUGCUAUUCUUUCAUAAGUGAACAGUGCGUCAAAUGAAGAGAGUCUUCUUAAAUAUUUGUUGUAAAUUACCCUGAAAGGGCUGUAAGCAUAGAAUUUUGUAUGAUUCUUCACGAAUUCCCGAAAUUUAUUUACAGAACAAAAGCAAUCCUACGCACUCCUCUAUUCUGUUGCUUUUUUCUUACUUAAUUUUUUUUCUAUAAUUUAUCUUACAAAAAAGGCCUUUUGUAGAAGAAGCUCAAAUGAGAAAGAACCAUGAAAAUAAUUUAUUUCCAAGCACAGUCAUACAAAACAGAGUUUUAAAUGCACUCAUGUCUUUUUUAUAGUUACCAUUUUUUUUGUUUAAUAUCAAAAGGAUUAUGAAAGGGAAUACAAGAUUAAAAAAAUAAAUAAAAAAAAACAAAAAGAAAAAUUAGAAAAAUAAUUAUUUUGUAAAUAAUUUAGUAAUUAUACAUAUUUUUUGUUUUAAUGUAAUUCCAAAAUAUUAUAUUUUCUUUUAGUGUAUUUUUUCUAUUUUUUUCUAAGUGUUUCAGUUGAGUGGAAAGGAAAGAAAGAAAGGAAAAAAAUAAUAAUAUGAAUGAAAAUGUGUUUCUUUUUGAAAUCUCCCUUUUUUGUUAACGAACAAUCUUUUAAUUUCAUGACAAAUUCAAUGAUGAGAUUCUUAUUAGAUUUUUUUUGUUUGUUUAUAAAGCUCAGAGGUUAAAACCAAAACAUUCCGGUAAGAAAGCAAAACUUUACCACCACAUGAAGCAUUUUUUAAGUAACCCAAAAAAAAAAGAGAAAAGAACGUUUUCAUAAUAGAUUUUCUACUUUUUUUUAUUAACAUUACCUCACAAAUUUCUUCACAAACAUCCUAUUUUUUUUAUUAAUUCAAUAGACCAUUCUUUACAAGAAAACAAAAAUAUUGAAAAAAUAAAAUGAAAAACAGAUUUAUUAAGUUAUAAAAUGCUAAUUGUUACAGUAAAUUUAUUCUUUUAAAACGGGCAGCUGAGAUGAGAGCAAGAGAUAUACAUAUAUUUGUUUUAAUUUUUUUUUAUAAUAUAAAAUAAAUAUUAUAUUAUUUUUAUUUUUAGAAAGAAUAAAAAGAAGGAACCUUUCUUUAUACAUUUUAGUUUUAUAGAAAUGAUGAAAAGAUUAGCUUUCAGUGAUGAAAGUGUUUGUUCUACCUCAUAAGUUUUGAAGGAAAAAAAAUUAAUUAUUUUAAUAUAUUUAUUUUUUAAAAAUAAUUUUUCUCCCUAUAUCCAUUUUUUUUGUUUAUUUUCCCCCAAAAAGAAAAACAUUUAAAAAUUUCUUGUGUCUUAAGUAUUUCUUUGCAACGAAAAAUAUGCAUUUUGAGCAUGAUUUUUUUUUUAAAAAUAAGUUCUGUUUUAUUUUGCUAUAAAUGAAGUCAAAAAACUAAAUAAAGAAAUUCUCAAAAUUUUUUACAAAGAGAGAAAGAUGUGAAAAAAAUUAAUGUUACUUGUGAUUUCGUAAUUGGUAAUUAUGAAAUGAAUUUUAAGAUAUUUUUGCAAAAAAAAUGUAAGGAAAAUUAUUUAAGGAAAAAAAAGAGAAACAAAAAAAAAGAUGCAGAAAAAAGAUUUCAAUUAAUACUUUUGUAAUAUGGAUAACAAAUAAAAAAAAAAUAAAUCGUAUGUUAAUGAGAAAA